CCUGCGCCGGGUUUGUCCGGUACGGCUGUGCCGCUCGGUGUGCACCGCUCCUCGGGACAGCGUGUGCCGGGGCCCUCCUCGGGAAAUAUUUCUUCCUUCUAUGGAAACCAACGAGCACCCGGGCCUGCACUCUUGAUAUAAAUACCCGGUGAUGACCGACUUAUUGCGGGCGACCGGGCGACGAAUCCACCGUUGGGACAGCACUGCCGGUGUCAGGCCAUAUGUGUGGGAUCUGUUGAGUCACAGCCUGAACCACGGAUUGAUCACCUGUGGAAAGGACCCAGUCAGCCCUGAGAGCACAGGUGGAUUUGCCACAAGGUUUCUCACAAUGACUAACAGUAGAAGGAAAUGUGCUCUGAAGGGGUGUGCUUGCAAGUCGGCUCAAGAGAAAUGAAAAUCGUUGUAGCGGGGACCCUGCCUGGGAGCAGAGCAUUACCAAAUACGUUACUAUGCAAAGAAUCUCAUGUUGAAUAAUUUAGAAAUACCUUUUUGUUAGUGGUCAAGUAAAACAUGGCAACAGAGGGUAAUCUCAGGAAAAAGAGGGGAUAAAAACAUCUCUAUCAAGCCCAGACUUGAUGGGAAAGGAAGAGCUGAACAAGUGUGCGUGUCUGGGGGUGUUCAUCUUCUAGACUGCACCCAGAGAAGGAGAAUGAUUGUGAUGCUGCAGUCUCGGAACUCCAGUCAGUACACAAAUGGAAGGAUUUCUGGGCUGAGAUGAAUUUAUCUCCGCAGCUUCUAAUCUUUUGGAUUUUGUGUUCUAGUGCAGUGAAGCUUUUGGGCAUGAUUUAUCAUCACUAUAGCUAACACUGUAUGGGAAAAAAACUGACUUUAGAUCUUACAUCAAAGCUUUUAACAAAGCUUGUUUCCCUGGAUUUUACUUGCUUUCCAUUGUCUCCAC
This 898-nucleotide long non-coding RNA is filed under the name Gallus gallus (chicken). RNAcentral's name for it is "lncRNA (ENSGALG00010018029.1)". Lineage: Eukaryota; Metazoa; Chordata; Aves; Galliformes; Phasianidae. The record is from RNAcentral.